Humulus lupulus (European hop) is the source of this 651-nucleotide long non-coding RNA. RefSeq lists it as uncharacterized. Lineage: Eukaryota; Viridiplantae; Streptophyta; Magnoliopsida; Rosales; Cannabaceae. The transcript has 4 exons. The record is from RefSeq and is a predicted model, not a curated record.
GAGAUAUGGAUAGUUUUAUAGGUGGAAAAUCUAAUAAAAUUUUGUCCUACUAAAGAAGAGAUGGAACUUCUCAAGGGUUACACAGGUGACAAGGAGAGCCUGGGAAAGUGUGAACAGGUAAGAAGCAUUAUUCAUCUUUUCUUGUCCAUGAAUGACUUUCUAUGAUUAAAGUACACAACAGUAAAAUGUUUUGAACUUAUUGAUUUAUUUUAUUAGUUUCUUACAAACUCCUUUAUUUAUUUUAAUUUCCCUCUGUUUAUUUACUUAAAAGAAAAGCAAUUUAUGUAAUAGAAACUUGGAAUUACUACUGUUGUACAUCAUUAUUGUCCAGUUGAAAUUUAGCUAUUUACUUGUCAAUUUGAGAGCAUAUAGAUUCCUUUUGAAUUCUAUCAUGGCCGGAAUAGUCCCAAAAGGUCAUUUUUUAUUUUGUUAUGUUUUUAAUAUUUCAAUAUUUUAUGGAGUUGAUGAAAGUUCCUAGAGUGGAAUCAAAAAUGCGAGUGUUCUCUUUCAAGAUUCAGUUCAACUGUCAGAUUUCAGAAUUUAAAAAGAGUUUGAACACUGUGACCUCUGCAUGUGAAGAGGUCCGGAAUUCCCUCAAAUUAAAAGAUAUUAUGAAGAAAAUUCUUUUUCUGGGUAAUACUUUGAACCAAG